AUGCGCACCACAAGGCCGAGGAUGAUGUCUCACCGGCUCGUCCUGUCCGUGGCCAUCGUCGCGGCCCUGCUUGUGCCCGGCGCCACGGGAUACCCGUGGAAGGACUGCGGCGACGGCCAAUUCGCGGCCGGCAGCAAGUACCUGGCCAACAUCAACCUCCUCGCGGUCUCGCUCCCCAAGAACGCCGCGGUGUCCCCGGACCUCUUCGCCACCGCCGAGGCCGGCGCCGCCCCGGACAAGGUCUGGGCCCUCGCGCUCUGCCGCGGCGACGCUAACGCCACGUCCUGCCUCAGCUGCCUCGCCCAGGCCUUCCGGGACCUGCCCAACGUGUGCGACUACAGCAAGGUGGCCACCAUGUACUACGACUCGUGCACGCUCCACUACUCCAACGCCUCCCGGGACCCGGCGCCGGUGGCGGCGCGGACGUAUAGGUACUGGGAGAGCACAAAUGUCACGUCCGAGCAGGCCUAG
Molecule: ribosomal RNA, 471 nt
Filed under: Triticum aestivum (bread wheat)
Lineage: Eukaryota; Viridiplantae; Streptophyta; Magnoliopsida; Poales; Poaceae
Description: partial small subunit ribosomal RNA
Source: RNAcentral